This 520-nucleotide ribosomal RNA is filed under the name uncultured bacterium. RNAcentral describes it as "bacterial SSU rRNA". It matches the Rfam family "Bacterial small subunit ribosomal RNA", at positions 120 to 674 of the family's 1533-position model. The record is from RNAcentral.
GGGAACGUACCCUUCGGUUCGGAAUAACUCAGGGAAACUUGAGCUAAUACCGGAUGCGCCCUUUUGGGGAAAGGUUUACUGCCGAAGGAUCGGCCCGCGUCUGAUUAGCUUGUUGGUGGGGUAACGGCCUACCAAGGCGACGAUCAGUAGCUGGUCUGAGAGGAUGAUCAGCCACACUGGGACUGAGACACGGCCCAGACUCCUACGGGAGGCAGCAGUGGGGAAUAUUGGACAAUGGGCGCAAGCCUGAUCCAGCCAUGCCGCGUGAGUGAUGAAGGCCUUAGGGUUGUAAAGCUCUUUUGUCCGGGACGAUAAUGACGGUACCGGAAGAAUAAGCCCCGGCUAACUUCGUGCCAGCAGCCGCGGUAAUACGAAGGGGGCUAGCGUUGCUCGGAAUCACUGGGCGUAAAGGGCGCGUAGGCGGCCGAUUAAGUCGGGGGUGAAAGCCUGUGGCUCAACCACAGAAUUGCCUUCGAUACUGGUUGGCUUGAGACCGGAAGAGGACAGCGGAACUGCGAGU